RNAcentral lists this ribosomal RNA (253 nucleotides) under uncultured bacterium. RNAcentral's name for it is "partial 16S ribosomal RNA". It matches the Rfam family "Bacterial small subunit ribosomal RNA", at positions 524 to 776 of the family's 1533-position model. The record is from RNAcentral.
GACGAACUGCCCAAACGUUGUUCGGAAUCACUGGGCUUAAAGGGCGCGUAGGCGGCAUGUCAAGUCAGGGGUGAAAUCCGGCAGCUCAACUGUCGAAGUGCCUUUGAUACUGACGUGCUCGAGGGAGGUAGGGGUGUGUGGAACUUCUGGUGGAGCGGUGAAAUGCGUUGAUAUCAGAAGGAACGCCGGUGGCGAAAGCGACGCACUGGACCUCUUCUGACGCUGAGGCGCGAAAGCUAGGGGAGCAAACGGG